AGAAUCAACGCUGGCGGCGUGCCUAACACAUGCAAGUCGAACGAGAAAGUGGAGCAAUCCAUGAGUAAAGUGGCGCACGGGUGAGUAACACGUGACUAACCUACCUUUUAGUGGGGGAUAACCUAGGGAAACCUGGGCUAAUACCGCAUAAUACCUACGGGUCAAAGCAGCAAUGCGCUGAAAGAGGGGGUCGCGGUCGAUUAGUUAGUUGGCAGGGUAAUGGCCUACCAAGACUGUGAUCGAUAUCCGGCCUGAGAGGGCGCACGGACACACUGGAACUGAAACACGGUCCAGACUCCUACGGGAGGCAGCAGUGGGGAAUUUUGCGCAAUGGGGGAAACCCUGACGCAGCAACGCCGCGUGGAGGAUGAAGUCCCUUGGGACCGUAAACUCCUUUCGAUCGGGACGAUAAUGACGGUACCGGAAGAAGAAGCCCGGCUAACUUCGCGCCAGCAGCCGC
This 460-nucleotide ribosomal RNA is filed under the name uncultured bacterium. Its description in RNAcentral is "SSU rRNA". It matches the Rfam family "Bacterial small subunit ribosomal RNA", at positions 26 to 518 of the family's 1533-position model. The record is from RNAcentral.